Molecule: long non-coding RNA, 1701 nt
Filed under: Mytilus galloprovincialis (Mediterranean mussel)
Lineage: Eukaryota; Metazoa; Mollusca; Bivalvia; Mytilida; Mytilidae
Source: RNAcentral
UUGUGUCUCUAUUCUGCAGAACUUAGAUAUGUGAUAAAUAGAUUAUAACAUGGCCUUUUCCAUAUUGGCCCUGGUAUCAUCCCUCGACCCAUAUCGGCCCUCGGCUAAAGCCUUGAGGCCGAUAUGGGAGUCUCGGGAUGAUACCAGGGCCAAUAUGGAAAAGGCCAUGUUAUAAUCUAUACUUAUUAGUUUAAGAUUUGAAGCUGUCGUCUUAAUAUAUGGUUGUUCAAAUGGCAAUAAAGAGAUAAUGAAGGUGAAAAUGAGAAAAUGUAGAACUGAAACACAAAGUCUAUCCUGAAGUAGAUUCCCAACACUUACAAAUAAAUCACAAACAAUAUGAAAGAGUUAUCUUUGUAAAAAUCUUUUAAGAUUCACUUCAUUACUAAAGUGUUCUCCUCAGAAAUUUCUUGCAUCAUCCUGGUAAACAGGAAAUCCCAACACUUACAAAUAAAUCACAAACAAUAUGAAAGAGUUAUCUUUGUAAAAAUCUUUUACGAUUCACUUCAUUACUAAAGUGUUCUCCUCAGAAAUUUUUUGCAUCAUCCUGGUAAACAGGAAAUUGUGAAAAACCAUCUUGUUUCCAGAAGCGUCAUAUCCAUACUUCUAUGAAAACUUAUUUCAGACAGCAUCAUAUCCUAGCAAUAUAGCAUCACAUUACCAUGAUGCUAAAUUGACAUUGGGAUAACACUGUAAUAAUUAUUUUAAAGAGAAGAAAUAAAUUAGAAUAUAUUGUUGAAUUUGAAAUCAUAUAAAACAUUACAUAUACUAUUCUUAACAGAUAAACAACUGUUAUGUAAAUAAAAAAAACAUAUUUGAUCAUUUUGUAAUAUAGCACCUUUUUAUCACUUAUUUUCAUUAUGGAUACUACUGAAAAUUCUGGAAAAAAUAUAUAUUCUAUCAGGACUAGUCUUAAAAAAAUACCCCACCUAUAAACGGGAGAUAAAAAGUUUCAUUUACUUUUCUUUUUAUAACUAUCUAAUGUAAUUGCUACACAAAUAUCAAAAAGAAGAGAUACAAAGUAUAAGUCAAUAAGACAAAAUCACAAAUAAAACAAAUAACUGAAGCAUGUGUGGUCUUAUAUUUUAAAAUUGGAAACUCACACCAUUAUAAGGAGUUUAAGACCAAUUAAUACAAAUGCUAAUUUAUCUCAAUGACAAGACUUUUUUUAAACUAAAAAGAUACUUUUCUUCUAAUUUCUCACUACAAAAGGCUUAUAACAUAAAUGUGUAGGUUUAUGAAAUCUUUUGAUAGGAUUAUUCAAAUUUAAAUAUUUUGCUAUUAUCUUUAUAAUGCUUUAGCUUAUGACUGAACAUUGAUUUAGAAUAUUUAAUUUAAACAUUGCUAAGUUAUCAAAUCAAAUCAAAAUCUAAAACAGGAGUAAAUAAUUAUUAGGUAAAAUGUAAAUAUCUUAACAGAAUAAGGGAGACUAAUGUUCCUUUAUUAUAUAUAGAUAACAUACAAGUCUACCUCUCCUCAAAACACAUGGACGCAGAGGACAGCAUGAGAUCUAUUCCCCAAAUAUUAUCGAUACUCAAAAAAACAUAUUUGUUAAAAGACUUCAAUUGUAAAUGAAUUUAAGCUAAUGUUCAGUUAAAUACAUUUGUUCCUUCAACAGUUUUUAGACAUUUUAAAUACAGAAAUGACUAGUAGUUUAUAAUUUUUACACAGAAUGCAAUUGCAAGAAAGUGAUGGAGAUAAAAU